GAUGAACGCUGGCGGCGUGCCUAAUACAUGCAAGUCGAGCGAACAGACGAGGAGCUUGCUCCUCUGACGUUAGCGGCGGACGGGUGAGUAACACGUGGAUAACCUACCUAUAAGACUGGGAUAACUUCGGGAAACCGGAGCUAAUACCGGAUAAUAUAUUGAACCGCAUGGUUCAAUAGUGAAAGACGGUUUUGCUGUCACUUAUAGAUGGAUCCGCGCCGCAUUAGCUAGUUGGUAAGGUAACGGCUUACCAAGGCAACGAUGCGUAGCCGACCUGAGAGGGUGAUCAGCCACACUGGAACUGAGACACGGUCCAGACUCCUACGGGAGGCAGCAGUAGGGAAUCUUCCGCAAUGGGCGAAAGCCUGACGGAGCAACGCCGCGUGAGUGAUGAAGGUCUUCGGAUCGUAAAACUCUGUUAUUAGGGAAGAACAAAUGUGUAAGUAAAUAUGCACGUCUUGACGGUACCUAAUCAGAAAGCCACGGCUAACUACGUG
This 497-nucleotide ribosomal RNA is filed under the name uncultured bacterium. Its description in RNAcentral is "partial 16S ribosomal RNA". It matches the Rfam family "Bacterial small subunit ribosomal RNA", at positions 28 to 507 of the family's 1533-position model. The record is from RNAcentral.